Molecule: ribosomal RNA, 496 nt
Filed under: uncultured bacterium
Lineage: Bacteria
Description: partial 16S ribosomal RNA
Rfam family: Bacterial small subunit ribosomal RNA
Source: RNAcentral
AUGCACGCUGGCGGCGUGCCUAAUACAUGCCAGUCGAGCGAACAGACGAGGAGCUUGCUCCUCUGACGUUAGCGGCGGACGGGUGAGUAACACGUGGAUAACCUACCUAUAAGACUGGGAUAACUUCGGGAAACCGGAGCUAAUACCGGAUAAUAUAUUGAACCGCCUGGUUCAAUAGUGAAAGACGGUUUUGCUGUCACUUAUAGAUGGAUCCGCGCCGCAUUAGCUAGUUGGUAAGGUAACGGCUUACCAAGGCGACGAUGCGUAGCCGACCUGAGAGGGUGAUCGGCCACACUGGAACUGAGACACGGUCCAGACUCCUACGGGAGGCAGCAGUAGGGAAUCUUCCGCAAUGGGCGAAAGCCUGACGGAGCAACGCCGCGUGAGUGAUGAAGGUCUUCGGAUCGUAAAACUCUGUUAUUAGGGAAGAACAAAUGUGUAAGUAACUAUGCACGUCUUGACGGUACCUAAUCAGAAAGCCACGGCUAACUACGUG